UUGGAGGGCAAGUCUGGUGCCAGCAGCCGCGGUAAUUCCAGCUCCAAUAGCGUAUAUUAAAGUUGUUGCAGUUAAAAAGCUCGUAGUUGAACCUCGGAAUCAAUGGAUUGGUCAUGCCGUUGGUAUGUACUGGUCAUAUUGGUUCUCACCUUCUAAGGAACCAUAAUGUCAUUCAUUUGAUGUUUUGGGGAAUUAGGACUGUUACCUUGAAAAAAUUAGAGUGUUUAAAGCAGGCUAACGCUUGAAUACAUUAGCAUGGAAUAAUGAAAUAGGACAUCGCAUUCUAUUUUGUUGGUUUCUAGGAUCGAUGUAAUGAUUAAUAGGGAUAGUUGGGGGCAUUAGUAUUCAAUUGUCAGAGGUGAAAUUCUUGGAUUUAUUGAAGACUAACUACUGCGAAAGCAUUUGCCAAGGAUGUUUUCAUUAAUCAAGAACGAAAGUUAGGGGAUCGAAGACGAUCAGAUACCGUCGUAGUCUUAACCAUAAACUAUGCCGACUAGGGAUCGGACGAAGUUAAUUUUAUAAUGACGCGUUCGGCGCCUUACGGGAAAC
This 549-nucleotide ribosomal RNA is filed under the name uncultured Glomus. RNAcentral describes it as "SSU rRNA". It matches the Rfam family "Eukaryotic small subunit ribosomal RNA", at positions 548 to 1098 of the family's 1831-position model. Lineage: Eukaryota; Fungi; Glomeromycota; Glomeromycetes; Glomerales; Glomeraceae. The record is from RNAcentral.